GGCCUUUUUACCCUAGAUCUCAAAAAUAGAAUUCAAUUAAGGAUUGUUGUUUAGAUUGUGUAUAAUGUUCAAUACUGAUGGUUGAUGAGGGAGUGGUGGUUGAGAAGGGGCUUUGAUGACAUAGACGCCACUUCCUCUGUCUUUAAAAGUCAGACCGACAGAGAGACAGCAGUAACCAGGGUUUAAGUGUUGGAGAUGUUACUGCACUGGUGUCUGCUGUUGAUCGGUUUCUCUCUCAGCACAUCAACCACAGCAGCAGAAGCAAUUCUCUGGGUGAAGACAGGGGAGAAGUUUACCAUGAAGUGCUCCACCACUCUAAAAGACCAGGACGGAAUGUACCUGUAUGUUGGGCUGGACAGGGACAGGGAGGUGUUGUAUUACUACCAGCGUGGCUCCAAGCUGACCUCCAGGAAAGGCUACUGGGACAGAGUGACGACUGAGGGACCUGUGGACCAACUGACCAUCACCGUCAGUAACCUGACCAUAGAGGACACAGGAGUCUACUGGUGUGUUUACACAAAAGUCAACAAAUCCACGUUCAAUAAUUUUAGCACCCAAGGCAAAGGCUCCACUCUGGUGGUGGUGAAUGACGAUGCCCCACAGCUGCCAUGUCCUACAGCUACUGCAGUAACGCUGACCCCCUUUCAUCUGGCCAAUGAGAAGCUGUGCCCAUCUGGCGUGGUAAACAUCAUCAUCAUCAUCAUCAUCACCAGCCUCUUGACCAUCCUGCUGUGUGCUGUCAUUUUCCUCAUCUGGGUCGCUCCACGGGUGAAGAGGUGCUGUAACCAGGGAGGAUCCACACCCCAGGUCUUUCCUGAGUCUGUCUAUGAAGACAUGGCCAGGAAACACACUUAUCCACCAGACACACAGGUAGAAUCAUCCAUGUAUAGCCACAAGGUUUUCCCAGCUAGAAGCAGAAACGGAGCUAGCAGCAGAAAUUGAGACCAAGGAUAAGCAAUUCUCUGGGUGAAGACAGGGGAGAAGUUUACCAUGAAGUGCUCCACCACUCUAAAAGACCAGGACGGAAUGUACCUGUAUGUUGGGCUGGACAGGGACAGGGAGGUGUUGUAUUACUACCAGCGUGGCUCCAAGCUGACCCCCAGGAAAGGCUACUGGGAGAGAGUGAAGACUGAGGGACCUGUGGACCAACUGACCAUCAUCGUCAGUAACCUGACCAUACAGGACACAGGUGUCUACCUGUGUAUUUACACAAAAUUCAAUGAAACCACGAAUGAAAAUGAAAUCAACCAAGGAAGAGGCUCCACUCUGGUCGUGGUGAAUGACGAUGACCCACAGCUGCCAUGUCCUACAGCUACUGCAGUAACGCUGACCCCCUUUCACCCAGCCAAUGAGAAGCCGUGCGCAUCUGGCGUGGUAAACAUCAUCAUCAUCAUCAUCACCACCACCAGCCUCUUGACCAUCCUACUGUGUGCCAUCUUCCUCAUCUGGCUCCCUCCACGGGUGAAGAGGUGCUGUAACCAGGGAG
RNAcentral lists this long non-coding RNA (1486 nucleotides) under Salmo salar (Atlantic salmon). RNAcentral's name for it is "lncRNA (ENSSSAG00000115993.1)". Lineage: Eukaryota; Metazoa; Chordata; Actinopteri; Salmoniformes; Salmonidae. The record is from RNAcentral.